RNAcentral lists this ribosomal RNA (250 nucleotides) under uncultured bacterium. RNAcentral's name for it is "partial 16S ribosomal RNA". It matches the Rfam family "Bacterial small subunit ribosomal RNA", at positions 107 to 354 of the family's 1533-position model. The record is from RNAcentral.
UGAGUAACACGUAUGCAACCUGCCUGCCACAGCCGGAUAAUCGGGAGAAAUUCCGUCUAAUACGGCAUAAUGCAUCGACGGGACAUCCUGUUGGUGCCAAAGGUUAAUUCCGGUGGCGGAUGGGCAUGCGUCGCAUUAGUUAGUUGGCGGUGUAACGGACCACCAAGACGACGAUGCGUAGGGGUUCUGAGAGGAAGGUCCCCCCACACUGGUACUGAGACACGGACCAGACUCCUACGGGAGGCAGCAG